RNAcentral lists this ribosomal RNA (484 nucleotides) under uncultured bacterium. RNAcentral describes it as "partial 16S ribosomal RNA". It matches the Rfam family "Bacterial small subunit ribosomal RNA", at positions 30 to 507 of the family's 1533-position model. The record is from RNAcentral.
AUUGAACGCUGGCGGCAGGCCUAACACAUGCAAGUCGAGCGGAUGAAGGGGGCUUGCUCCUGGAUUCAGCGGCGGACGGGUGAGUAAUGCCUAGGAAUCUGCCUGGUAGUGGGGGAUAAUGUCCGGAAACGGGCGCUAAUACCGCAUACGUCCUGAGGGAGAAAGUGGGGGAUCUUCGGACCUCACGCUAUCAGAUGAGCCUAGGUCGGAUUAGCUAGUUGGUGGGGUAAAGGCCUACCAAGGCGACGAUCCGUAACUGGUCUGAGAGGAUGAUCAGUCACACUGGAACUGAGACACGGUCCAGACUCCUACGGGAGGCAGCAGUGGGGAAUAUUGGACAAUGGGCGAAAGCCUGAUCCAGCCAUGCCGCGUGUGUGAAGAAGGUCUUCGGAUUGUAAAGCACUUUAAGUUGGGAGGAAGGGCAGUAAGUUAAUACCUUGCUGUUUUGACGUUACCAACAGAAUAAGCACCGGCUAACUUCGUG